CCGGAGCUUGCUCCACCGGAAAAAGAGGAGUGGCGAACGGGUGAGUAACACGUGGGUAACCUGCCCAUCAGAAGGGGAUAACACUUGGAAACAGGUGCUAAUACCGUAUAACAAUCGAAACCGCAUGGUUUUGAUUUGAAAGGCGCUUUCGGGUGUCGCUGAUGGAUGGACCCGCGGUGCAUUAGCUAGUUGGUGAGGUAACGGCUCACCAAGGCCACGAUGCAUAGCCGACCUGAGAGGGUGAUCGGCCACAUUGGGACUGAGACACGGCCCAAACUCCUACGGGAGGCAGCAGUAGGGAAUCUUCGGCAAUGGACGAAAGUCUGACCGAGCAACGCCGCGUGAGUGAAGAAGGUUUUCGGAUCGUAAAACUCUGUUGUUAGAGAAGAACAAGGAUGAGAGUAACUGUUCAUCCCUUGACGGUAUCUAACCAGAAAGCCACGGCUAACUACGUGCCAGCAGCCGCGGUAAUACGUAGGUGGCAAGCGUUGUCCGGAUUUAUUGGGCGUAAAGCGAGCGCAGGCGGUUUCUUAAGUCUGAUGUGAAAGCCCCCGGCUCAACCGGGGAGGGUCAUUGGAAACUGGGAGACUUGAGUGCAGA
RNAcentral lists this ribosomal RNA (600 nucleotides) under uncultured bacterium. RNAcentral describes it as "bacterial SSU rRNA". It matches the Rfam family "Bacterial small subunit ribosomal RNA", at positions 73 to 652 of the family's 1533-position model. The record is from RNAcentral.